This 292-nucleotide ribosomal RNA is filed under the name uncultured bacterium. RNAcentral's name for it is "partial 16S ribosomal RNA". It matches the Rfam family "Bacterial small subunit ribosomal RNA", at positions 505 to 796 of the family's 1533-position model. The record is from RNAcentral.
GUGUCAGCAGCCGCGGUAAGACAGAGGGUGCAAACGUUGUUCGGAAUUACUGGGCGUAAAGCGCGUGUAGGCUGCUCGCUAAGUCGGAUGUGAAAGCCCUGGGCUCAACCUGGGAAGUGCAUACGAAACUGGCGAGCUGGAGUCCUGGAGAGGAAGGCGGAAUUCUCGGUGUAGAGGUGAAAUUCGUAGAUAUCGAGAGGAACACCGGUGGCGAAGGCGGCCUUCUGGACAGCGACUGACGCUAAGACGCGAAAGCGUGGGGAGCAAACAGGAUUAGAAACCCCGGUAGUCC